Molecule: ribosomal RNA, 468 nt
Filed under: uncultured bacterium
Lineage: Bacteria
Description: partial 16S ribosomal RNA
Rfam family: Bacterial small subunit ribosomal RNA
Source: RNAcentral
GAUGAACGCUGGCGGCGUGCCUAACACAUGCAAGUCGAACGGAAAGGCCCUGCUCUUGCUGGGCUCUCGUGUGGCGAACGGGGGAGUAUCACACGAGUAUACCGUCCCUGUCUUAGGGAUAACUCCACGAAACAGGGGAGAAUACCGGAUAGGAUCUUCUGCAGCAUGUUGGUCGAUGGUAAGUUUCGGCGGUUGGGGAUGGACUCGCGGGUUAUCAGCUUGUUGGUGGGGUAGUGGCUUACCAAGGCUUUGACGGGUAGCCGGCCUGAGCGGGUGACCGGCCACAUUGGGACUGAGAUACGGCCCAGACUCCUACGGGAGGCAGCAGUGGGGAAUAUUGCACAAUGGGCGGAAGCCUGAUGCAGCAACGCCGCGUGCGGGAUGACGGCCUUCGGGUUGUAAACCGCUUUCGCCUGUGACGAAGCGUGAGUGACGGUAAUGGGUAAAGAAGCACCGGCUAACUACGUG